GGAGGGUGCGAGCGUUAAUCGGAAUGACUGGGCGUAAAGGGCAUGUAGGCGGAUGAUUAAGUUAGGUGUGAAAGCCUCGGGCUCAACCUGAGAAUAGCAUUUAAAACUGGUGAUCUGGAGUACUGUAGAGGGAGGUAGAAUUCCACGUGUAGCGGUGAAAUGCGUAGAGAUGUGGAGGAAUACCGGUGGCGAAGGCGGCCUUCUGGACAGAUACUGACGCUGAGAUGCGAAAGCGUGGGGAGCAAACAGGAUUAGAUACCCUGGUAGUCCACGCUGUAAACGAUGUCGAUUUAGAGUUUGUUGCCUAGAGUGAUGGGCUCCGAAGCUAACGCGAUAAAUCGACCGCCUGGGGAGUACGGCCGCAAGGUUA
This 370-nucleotide ribosomal RNA is filed under the name uncultured bacterium. RNAcentral's name for it is "bacterial SSU rRNA". It matches the Rfam family "Bacterial small subunit ribosomal RNA", at positions 527 to 896 of the family's 1533-position model. The record is from RNAcentral.